UAUAUAUAUAUAUAUAUAUAUAUAUAUAUAUAUAUAUAUAUAUAUAUAUAUAUAUAUAUAUAUAUAUAUAUAUAUAUAGAGAGAGAGAGAGAGAGAGAGAGAGAGAGAAUACUAAUAUAAUUUGAUCUUAUUGUGUAAUGUGAGUGCUAAGAGAGGAAAGCAAAGUCCUGUCUAAGUACUGUUUGGUGAGCUGAGUUGAGAGUAGGUUUGAGGGAGGCCAAUUAGGUUUGAUAUAAGUUUUGAAAGCAUCAAAAGUUAAAUGUUGCACAGUGAAGAGCAAGGCCAUAGCAGGUUAGAAGUGGCAUUUAUUUGUAAGUGCUAUAGUGGGGUGUAGGGUGAGUUAGGGAGAGAUCGUACAUGAGGAUGUAACGUACAAACGCUCCCGUGAGCUUAUUUAUGAAAAUAGCGAAGUUAGUGACUAAUCAGCCGAGAAAGAAAACGGAGGCGCACAGCUGACACCCGCUAUUAAUGCUCCACGCCGCGCGCUGUCAUGACCAGAUGGAGGAAAUACUGAGCUAAAACAGGUGAAGGGGAUUAUGUUUACUCCAUUGCCAGCACCCACCCCUAGAUUGAAGCGAUUCAUCAGAUUCCAGCACUCUGGCAUCCUACAAUGUUAAGGAGGCCUGCCUUCAUGUCUUUGUAGGGUAGACCAACCCUAUAUGGUACUUUUGUACUGCAGAAAAACAUGUCAGUGGAAUGAAAGAUUGUUUAAUUUUAUUUUGAUGAUCCUCAGUGGUUGAAAAAAAUCUUCAAUUUACUGAAUAUCAACAUUUAUUACUUUGUCAUCCUAUAAGCAUUAGAAUUAUGAUUUCUUUUAUUAUGUUUAAGCAGUGUGAUGUGUAGGAUGACCUGCUGUGAUUCAAACAAUUUGAUACUGAAUAUUUUUGUACUUUUUUUGUACAAUAUAGUUUGAUGAAUAACCUUUCA
This is a long non-coding RNA of Portunus trituberculatus (swimming crab), 927 nucleotides long. RefSeq lists it as uncharacterized. NCBI's taxonomy places the organism in Eukaryota, Metazoa, Arthropoda, Malacostraca, Decapoda, Portunidae. The record is from RefSeq and is a predicted model, not a curated record. The transcript has 2 exons.